This 271-nucleotide unclassified non-coding RNA is filed under the name fungal sp. RNAcentral describes it as "partial internal transcribed spacer region". The stretch from base 1 to 46 matches the Rfam family "Eukaryotic small subunit ribosomal RNA", at positions 1786 to 1831 of the family's 1831-position model. Lineage: Eukaryota; Fungi. The record is from RNAcentral.
AAGUCGUAACAAGGUUUCCGUAGGUGAACCUGCGGAAGGAUCAUUACCAAGCGUGACACGUUGUGUCGCCUACAACCUCGAGCAGACCGGGCGCGGCUCCGCGCCGGGUCAGGACGGUGGUCCAUGGACUGCCGUCAGCGCCGUCCCCUGCUCUUCGGAGCAGAAGCUCAGUCCAGCCGGACGAAAGGACGGACCGGUGCUUUCGCAUCACCCUGUGCUUGAAAAGGAACCACAACAGCAGUACAACUGCAAACGGUGGAUCACUCGGCUC